This is a long non-coding RNA of Vespa velutina, 934 nucleotides long. RefSeq lists it as uncharacterized. NCBI's taxonomy places the organism in Eukaryota, Metazoa, Arthropoda, Insecta, Hymenoptera, Vespidae. The record is from RefSeq and is a predicted model, not a curated record. The transcript is spliced from 3 exons.
CUCCUCUUCUGGUUUUUCUUCAUUUUUUAAAUUUCGAAUAUUCGUAUAUACACGCAAAAUUUAAGGUUAUCUCGAUCACUAGAAUUUUACGAUUACGUCGAUCGGAAAAGUUCGAAUUUUAACCGACAGAUAGUGACACUUUCAAAGAAUUUUCCGAGGAAGUAAUGAACAAGUAAAUCAAAAUAUCACUCUGUGUGUCUCUUUGAAAUAGAAUUAAAGAAGAGAAAGAAAAAAAGAAAUAAUAAAAAUUCAUUGGAGAGCGCAUAAAGGCGUCGAAUGUUCGAACGUCUAUAGAAAAACAACAUUCUUACUCCUUUCUUAUGGACUACGUAAGAGGAACAAGUUUGGAAGUCAUUGAUCUUAAUACUGGUGCAACGCUAGGACCCAAAGCUGCAACAGUCGCUCCUAAAGAAAUAUAUGAAGAUUUCAAUGCACGUGCGAUUCAUAGUGAUACAUAGCGAAGAUUUAUUAAGAUCAAUAAAAUUUUUCACUCAAUAAUUUCUUAUUAAACCAAUACAAAUUCAUCAAACACGUGUUCCGAACUAUGUUUAAUAGUAAUUCUAGUUACUUGUCGUUUGAAAGUUAGAAAGUAUGACACGUAGUGACAUCUGUCAACGAUUUUACCAAUCAAUUAGAGUUUUUCGUUAUAUAAAAUCAAUCAGUUCAAUAGUUUCAACUAAAUAAUUUCAACAUAAAAAAAUUCAAAAUCAAUUCAAAAUUUUAAACUAAUUUAAUGAUUGAUUUAUCAAAUAUUUUGAUAAAUAGAUUUAAAGCAAAUAAUCAAUUUAUAUUUUUUUGGCGGGCUUUUUCAAAUCCUUCAAAAUAUUCCAUCGAAAUAAUAUUCCAUAUUUUACAGCAAUAGAAUUUUUAUAAUUCAUAUUACACGUAACAUAAUAUUUAAGAAUGUUCACAAAUAUUAAGUUGAUUAAUAAAU